This 249-nucleotide ribosomal RNA is filed under the name uncultured bacterium. RNAcentral's name for it is "partial 16S ribosomal RNA". The record is from RNAcentral.
CUGCUGCCUUCCGUAGGAGUCUGGGCCGUGUCUCAGUCCCAAUGUGGCCGUUCACCCUCUCAGGCCGGCUACGCAUCAUCGCCUUGGUGAGCCUCUACCUCUCCAACUAGCUAAUGCGCCGUAAGGCCAUCCCUCUGUGAUGUUCCCCAUCUUUCAUGAACCGAAGAUGUCUUCCGUUCACCUAUCCGGUAUUAGCUCUCGUUUCCCAGAGUUAUCCCAGGCAUAGGGGCAGGUUCCUUACGUCUUACU